This is a non-coding RNA of Chthoniobacter flavus Ellin428, 96 nucleotides long. Lineage: Bacteria; Pseudomonadati; Verrucomicrobiota; Spartobacteria; Chthoniobacterales; Chthoniobacteraceae. The record is from Rfam.
CUUACCCGGGGAGAUCUCCUGUGUGAGAGCACGGGAGAAGUCAGCAGAGGCCGUAGUAGUGAAGAGGCCCGGCGAAAGUCGGGAAGAGCGAAGGGC